Molecule: ribosomal RNA, 255 nt
Filed under: uncultured bacterium
Lineage: Bacteria
Description: partial 16S ribosomal RNA
Rfam family: Bacterial small subunit ribosomal RNA
Source: RNAcentral
GACGGAGGGUGCUAGCGUUGUUCGGAAUCACUGGGCGUAAAGGGCGCGUAGGCGGCCUUGCAAGUCGGUUGGUGAAAGCCCGGGGCUCAACCCCGGAGGUGCGGCCGAGACUGCAGGGCUGGAGGCCGGAAGAGGAGGGUGGAAUACCCAGUGUAGAGGUGAAAUUCGUAGAUAUUGGGUGGAACACCGGUGGCGAAAGCGGCUCUCUGGCCCGGAUCGUGACGCUGAGGCGCGAAAGCGUGGGGAGCAAACAGG